This 253-nucleotide ribosomal RNA is filed under the name uncultured bacterium. Its description in RNAcentral is "partial 16S ribosomal RNA". It matches the Rfam family "Bacterial small subunit ribosomal RNA", at positions 524 to 776 of the family's 1533-position model. The record is from RNAcentral.
UACAGAGGGUGCGAGCGUUGUCCGGAAUCACUGGGCGUAAAGGGCGCGUAGGCGGCUUGAUAAGGUUGCGGUGAAAGCCCGGGGCUCAACCCCGGGUCGGCCGUGGCAACUGUCGAGCUGGAGCACUGUAGAGGCAGGUGGAAUUCCGGGUGUAGCGGUGAAAUGCGUAGAUAUCUGGAGGAACACCGGUGGCGAAGGCGGCAUCCUGGACCGGCAUUGACGCUGAGGCGCGAAAGCCAGGGGAGCAAGCGGG